AUGGGUAGAAAACAUCCUUUAGCUAAUUUCUUGAUUCUCCUCUUGAACUUGGGUACGUUGCUAUCUUCUUUAGCAUGUCCAUAUUGCCCUUAUCCUACUCCUCCCCCUCCGUGUCCCCCAACAUUUCCACCAAAACACCCUCCACAUGUAAAGCCACCUUUCCACCCCAAACCACCGCAUCACAAGCCACCCCAUGUCAAACCACCGCACAAGCCCCCGUAUGUUCCUAAACCACCUUAUUCCCCAAGCCCUAAACCGCCUUACGUGCCAAAACCACCUCAUACUCCAGUCCCUAGGCCACCAUAUUUCCCCAAACCACCUUACACACCAAGGCCUAAGCCACCAUAUGCGCCAAAACCACCUUAUACGCCAACCCCUAAGCCACCAUAUUUCCCCAAACCACCUUACACACCAAGGCCGAAGCCACCAUAUGUGCCAAAACCACCUUAUACGCCAGCCCCUAAGCCACCAUAUUUUCCCAAACCACCUUACACACCAAGGCCUAAGCCACCAUAUGCACCAAAACCACCUUAUACGCCAACACCUAAGCCACCAUAUUUCCCCAAACCACCUUACACACCAAGGCCUAAGCCACCGUACGUGCCAAAACCACCGUACACACCAAGGCCUAAGCCACCGUACGUGCCAAAACCACCAUACACACCAACCCCUAAGCCACCGUACGUGCCAAAACCACCUUACACCCCAACCCCUAAGCCACCGUACGUGCCAAAACCACCGUAUACCCCAACUCCUAAGCCACCGUACGUCCCAUCGCCACCUUAUACCCCUCGCCCUAAACCACCGUAUGUACCAUCACCACCUUAUACCCCUAGCCCUAAACCACCGUAUGUGCCAUCACCACCAUAUACCCCAAGCCCUACCCCACCAUAUGUACCAUCACCACCGUAUACCCCAAGCCCACCAUAUGUACCAUCACCACCGUAUACCCCAAGCCCUAGCCCACCACCACCACCAAGUGGAACACCGUGUCCUCCGCCGCCGCCACCAAAGGUGAGACCGUACCCUCCACCACCAUCACAAACUUGUCCCAUUGAUACUCUCAAGCUUGGUGCAUGCGUCGACGUGUUGGGCGGUCUAAUACACAUCGGUAUAGGCAGCAGUGCAAAGGACGCUUGCUGCCCCGUGCUGCAGGGGCUACUGGACUUGGAUGCUGCAUUAUGUCUUUGCACCACCAUUAAACUUAAGCUUUUGAAUAUCAAUCUUAUUAUACCGAUCGCC
Molecule: long non-coding RNA, 1242 nt
Filed under: Citrus x clementina
Lineage: Eukaryota; Viridiplantae; Streptophyta; Magnoliopsida; Sapindales; Rutaceae
Description: Citrus clementina (C. clementina) long non-coding RNA (CCLE_LNC002016)
Source: RNAcentral